This 818-nucleotide ribosomal RNA is filed under the name uncultured bacterium. RNAcentral's name for it is "bacterial SSU rRNA". It matches the Rfam family "Bacterial small subunit ribosomal RNA", at positions 1 to 832 of the family's 1533-position model. The record is from RNAcentral.
CCUUAGAGUUUGAUCAUGGCUCAGGAUGAACGCUGGCGGCGUGCCUAAUACAUGCAAGUCGAACGAGGGGUCUUGUCGUAAGAUGAGACACUCCGAGUGGCGAACGGGUGAGGAACACGUAGACGAUCUGCCCUGAAGAGGGGGAUAACGUUCCGAAAGGGAUGCUAAUACCCCAUAAGCUCACGGGGAUUAGAAGCCUGUGAGAAAAGGGAGCGAUUCGCUUCAGGAGGGGUCUGCGGUCCAUCAGGUAGUUGGCGGGGUAACGGCCCACCAAGCCGAAGACGGAUAGGGGGCCUGAGAGGGCAAUCCCCCACACGGGCACUGAGAGACGGGCCCGACUCCUACGGGAGGCAGCAGUAAGGGAUAUUGCGCAAUGGGCGACAGCCUGACGCAGCAACGCCGCGUGCCCGAUGAAGGCCUUCGGGUCGUAAAGGGCUUUUCUGGCUGAAGAGGAAGGACGGUAAGCCAGGAAAAAGUGUCGGCUAACUACGUGCCAGCAGCCGCGGUAAAACGUAGGACGCGAGCGUUAUCCGGAGUUACUGGGCGUAAAGGGCGGGCAGGCGGCCUGGCAAGAUGGGCGUGAAAUCUCCCGGCUCAACCGGGCGGGGCCGCUCGUGACUGCGAGGCUGGAGGGCGACAGAGGAGCGUGGAAUUCCGGGUGGAGUGGUGAAAUGCGUAGAGAUCCGGAGGAACACCAGAGGCGAAGGCGGCGCUCUGGGUCGCGCCUGACGCUGAACCGCGAAAGCCAGGGGAGCGAACGGGAUUAGAAACCCCGGUAGUCCUGGCUGUAAACGAUGUCCACUGGGCGUGGGUAUGGA